Molecule: ribosomal RNA, 186 nt
Filed under: Hastula cf. matheroniana MW-2015
Lineage: Eukaryota; Metazoa; Mollusca; Gastropoda; Neogastropoda; Terebridae
Description: partial 28S ribosomal RNA
Source: RNAcentral
CUCGGAUGCGCUUGAUCAUGCCUUUGCCUCUCCCGCCGCCGCCGCCUGUUCGGGCGGCGGUGUGCGUGCUGCAAAGCGUGGGACGGCGGAGCGGAGAAAGGGGCCGGGACAGGGGAUGAAAAGCUCUCUUAUUUUGCUUCCGACCUCAGAUCGGACGAGAUUACCCGCUGAAUUUAAGCAUAUCAC